This 405-nucleotide ribosomal RNA is filed under the name uncultured bacterium. Its description in RNAcentral is "bacterial SSU rRNA". It matches the Rfam family "Bacterial small subunit ribosomal RNA", at positions 355 to 777 of the family's 1533-position model. The record is from RNAcentral.
UGGGGAAUAUUGCACAAUGGGGGAAACCCUGAUGCAGCGAUGCCGCGUGGAGGAAGAAGGUUUUCGGAUUGUAAACUCCUUUUAUCAGGGACGAUAAUGACGGUACCUGAAGAAAAAGCUCCGGCUAACUACGUGCCAGCAGCCGCGGUAAUACGUAGGGAGCGAGCGUUGUCCGGAAUUACUGGGUGUAAAGGGAGCGUAGGCGGGACGGUAAGUCAGAUGUGAAAUAUACGUGCUCAACAUGUAGACUGCAUUUGAAACUGCUGUUCUUGAGUGAAGUAGAGGUAAGCGGAAUUCCUAGUGUAGCGGUGAAAUGCGUAGAUAUUAGGAGGAACAUCGGUGGCGAAGGCGGCUUACUGGGCUUUUACUGACGCUGAGGCUCGAAAGCGUGGGGAGCAAACAGGA